UACGUAGGGGGCUAGCGUUGUCCGGAAUCAUUGGGCGUAAAGAGCGUGUAGGCGGUCCGGUAAGUCCGCUGUGAAAGUCGGGGGCUCAACCCUCGAAUGCCGGUGGAUACUGUCGGGCUAGAGUGCGGAAGAGGCGGGUGGAAUUCCUGGUGUAGCGGUGAAAUGCGCAGAUAUCAGGAGGAACACCAAUUGCGAAGGCAGCUCGCUGGGACGUAACUGACGCUGAGACGCGAAAGCUAGGGUAGCGAACGGG
RNAcentral lists this ribosomal RNA (253 nucleotides) under uncultured bacterium. RNAcentral's name for it is "partial 16S ribosomal RNA". It matches the Rfam family "Bacterial small subunit ribosomal RNA", at positions 524 to 776 of the family's 1533-position model. The record is from RNAcentral.